UGACUGCAUUAAACUACUACAAGGGCCAUAAAAAGCUGAGGGGGAGUUCAGGCAUCAAAUGUGUUUCCUGGAAGCUCGAGAACUGAAGUAAUCCACUGAGUGGUCUCCUGGCAUUGAUACAAGAAAGGAGGGAAUUUCACAUACAGCAUUGACCUUUAUGGAUCAAACAUUUUGUAUUUGUUCAGAGGCACGUGCCUAUGCCAUGAAGGGCUCUAUUCAGGAGGUGGUGGCACACACAGGGCUGCCAUAGGGUCUGUUUGCACUCAGGCACGUGGCAUGCAGGAGCUGCUCAGCUGCAGUGUCAUUUGGAGCAGGACAACAGCAGACCCAUAAGAAUCCUUGAAUUAACCUUAAGAAGAAACCUUGGGGCCCAUCCCAGCCAUCCUGUGAGCCCCUAUGGAAACACCCAGCUGCCAGCAACAAUCCUGUCUGACACUUAGCAAGAUCCAUCCACGAGCCACCAGCUUGCUCUGACUGAUGGUAACAUUCAAGCAUUAUUCCAAAGGGACAGGAAAGCCCCUUGGAGACUCAA
Molecule: non-coding RNA, 532 nt
Organism: Coturnix japonica (Japanese quail)
Lineage: Eukaryota; Metazoa; Chordata; Aves; Galliformes; Phasianidae
Source: RefSeq, a predicted model, not a curated record